This 490-nucleotide ribosomal RNA is filed under the name uncultured bacterium. RNAcentral's name for it is "partial 16S ribosomal RNA". It matches the Rfam family "Bacterial small subunit ribosomal RNA", at positions 28 to 507 of the family's 1533-position model. The record is from RNAcentral.
GAUGAACGCUAGCGAUAGGCUUAACACAUGCAAGUCGAGGGGCAGCAUGGUCUUAGCUUGCUAAGACUGAUGGCGACCGGCGCACGGGUGCGUAACGCGUAUGCAACUUGCCUCACAGAGGGGGAUAACCCGUCGAAAGACGGACUAAUACCGCGUACACUUGGGAUAGGGCAUCCUGACCCAAGGAAAUGAAAUUCGCUGUGAGAUAGGCAUGCGUCCCAUUAGCUAGUUGGUGAGGUAACGGCUCACCAAGGCGACGAUGGGUAGGGGAACUGAGAGGUUGAACCCCCACACUGGUACUGAGACACGGACCAGACUCCUACGGGAGGCAGCAGUGAGGAAUAGGGGUCAAUGGGCGAGAGCCUGAACCAGCCAAGUCGCGUGAAGGAUGACUGUCUUAUGGAUGGUAAACUUCUUUUAGACGGGAAUAACAAGAGUCACGUGUGGCUCCCUGCAUGUACCGUAUGAAUAAGCAUCGGCUAACUCCGUG